Molecule: long non-coding RNA, 5901 nt
Organism: Dromaius novaehollandiae (emu)
Lineage: Eukaryota; Metazoa; Chordata; Aves; Casuariiformes; Dromaiidae
Exons: 2
Source: RefSeq, a predicted model, not a curated record
GCCCCCUCGGCGGUUGGGGGUUCAUGACGUGACGGGCGGCGCCUCUCAGGCAGGUGGGGAGCGGGGAGGCGAAGUGGGCGGGGUGAGGUGUCGUGUCGUCGGCUGCGUAGCUGCACUGCGCUCUGCGGGCGGCGGUGAGCCUUCCCUGAGGGGACGUGGGGACGGUGCCGCGGGAGAGCCCCGGGCUAAGCCAGGCGCUGAGCCCCAGAGUUGGGUGCAGGCAGCUGGGAUAGGGCAGGCUGCAGGCAGGGCGCAUGGUGUCUCGGGGCGGGGUGGCGGGGGGUGAGGCACGGGGUUAAUCCCGCAGCGGCUUUACUGGAGACUCUGAGCCGAGGGAUUGCCGCCUGCCCCCGCCGGCCCGGCCCAAGGGCACGGCCUUCCCUCGCCCUCGGGGGCCGGCUGCGACCCACGGCCACCCGCCAACGGCCGCGAGGAGAAAAACGGUCCGGGGCGGUGCUGGGGAGCGCUCCCCGGGCGGCAGGAGGCCUUCCCCCCCCCCGCCCCCGACAGGCGCUUUCGGUCCAAGAGAAACCCCCCACCCCGUCCCCCGCCUCUCCCCCCGUUCCCGCCCUGGCAUUCUAAGAUUAGCGCGUUUCUCUGGGUCUUAUUUAAAAAGAAACAACUCGAACGACUAAUUGGAUCCAAGCCGUUAGAGGCGCUCUGGACUGUUUCCAUAAAUUCUUGAAUGUGCGCUCUCAGUCUUUCCAAAAUUGUAACUGCUUGCAAGGAUGCAGAUGGGAUGUGACCUGGAACGCAAUUCACACAGUUCUUACUCAUGAAGUACUGCCUAUUCCUGACUUAAAAGCAGGGGUGGGAGGAGGGAAGAACCACCCUGUUUUUCCUAUUUGGCCUCAUUUGUCCUAAACUGACCAACUGCUUUUCAAAUUCCAUUCUGAAUUUAGUGUUUUUUCUUAACUGGGGUGAUCAUAGGGCAUGGAAAACCUUUUGUUCAUUUGUACCGCUAACCAGAGUUUCAUACCACUAUGUUAGAAAAGGGCAGAAGCGGGUGGAAAAGUGAGCUCAAGUAACAUCCCCAAAAGGCCGGGAGGGUAUUCUUGAAUGGGAACUUGUGCUAGCAAAGCCUGGGAGCAGGGUGGCACUUUGCACGCUGGAGGAAAGCUUAUUUGUCCUAAGGGCAUGAAGGACACGGUGGAGUAUCUCAGUGCUGAGCAACACCAUCUGGCACAGGGUUCCCAGACCAGAGCGCACCAAUGCAACCCAGACACCUUGAACGCCUCAUGCCAACUCAGGACAGAGGGCUUUUCUUGCCUCUGUUACUGUACACAUGCACCUGGUGAUAGCUUAAGGAGAUACUGCCUAUAUAAUGAAAAGUCAGGCAAUGUUGUGCUGUGCCUCCUUUGAGUACCCUCUGAAAUAAGUAUAACGUUAAAUACCUUAAAAUGAUGAUGUUUUGUAUAUGAUUCUCAUAUUACUAUUGCCUUAGCUUAUGUAGAUGAUAAAAUGUUCUUGAAAAUAAUACAGACAGAACCAUUAGAGUCUUCUUCAUCAUUAUUUAUGCCUUUUGUUAUUUGAGGAGCAAUUUUUGUAAUUCUUUGGUCAGCGUCAAAUAGCUUCAAGUUGCUGCUUUGUGGGAAUUUAGGCACUGCCAGAGGCUGUUUAUCAGCUUGCAAACAACUAGAAUUUAAAAAUAACAUACUUUAAUUUCUUAGGUUUCAGGUUUUAUAAAAGUUUGUUUUUAUAAAUACAAGUUUCAGGACAAAAUUAGCGUUGUCCUUUUAAAGAGCACGAUAGUUGAACUGCAGCAGCAAAGCGGUUAGGGAGAUACUAGGCAACAAGGAUAUGUUGAAGGUACACCUUCCCAGUGAUCAUGUAAUCCAAACCUAAUGUUAUGGAAAUUAGGCUUGUUGGCCACCAUAACAGGGCCCGACCCUAGGUUCCCACAGAAAAGUUCAGAGCCAAAUCAAAACAAAUUACAUAAUUAAAUUUUAAUGACACGCAUGCAGUAAUUACAGCUUGAGCUGGGUGCCUCUGAAGAGGGACCCUGAACAAAGAAAUCCCUGGGCAAUUAUAGCUUUUUCAAAUUAAGUUUCCCGCCCCUCACGCGGUAGGUCAGACCAAUAGUAAUUUUUAGGUCUGGGGUCUCCUGCUCCUUAUUGGCUCUCAUCGUUUUUCCUAGGCAGGCUGUUUUUCUCCUUUAUCUUUACUGUUGCAGUUUCUGCUGAUGGUUGUACCUUCGUUUCUUGUUGGGUCUUACUGUUGUCUCUCAAGGUCCUGAGGAGGAGGAGGUGAUUCUAAAUCAUAACAAUUAACACUGCCCCAGCAGUGAGCUAAGGCUUUGUCCCUCAAGGUCCUAAUGCCCCGCACUGGUCUUAUUUCAAAGCCGUGACAUCCUCCCUUUCAGAGUGAGACACAGGAAUGCAGACUGCUUGUAACUUCCUCAUCUUCCCAGCUUGAACCAGCUCUGAGGCCCUUUUCUUACUGAACUAGGUAAAGGUUCAUUACUUUAUCCAGGUGCGGCCUAAGGCUUCAGCAAAUUUAGCUACUCAUGCUAAGCAAGUUUUAUAUAAGUUGUGCUAAGCAGCUACCUCUAGACAGUUUCAGUUUGCUAUUCUUUAACACCUAACAUACUGUUAGGUAGCACUGUGAAUGUAUGGUCUGCUCCAACUCUCACUGAACCCAAACUCAGACCACCUCUUGAUUUAGAAAGGAGCAGGACAGCUCCCUGAAGACAUCUGGUCUCCAGGCCAUGCAAGAAAAAGGAAACCAACAAAGCAAAAGUCGAACUGUGUGCCAGGCUUAAAUCUCCGUCUUAAGUCCUGCCAUACAGACAGUGAGAUACUUGCAGUUCCUGAAACAUUACAUAUACUGAUCCUGUGUUCCUCACAGCAAAGAGCAAGGACUAAGCACAUCUCUGGGCUAAAAUAAAUUUUUUCACUACAGUUACAUCAGGAGGGAGUUUGAUCCUUCUGUGGAUUUAGGACUUUGUUUCCUUUCCUUUUGUGCUGCCCUGUUGUCGAACAGAAACAAUGAAAAAACAUUUGAGGUGUCCCUUUUUCUGGGCUGAAGAAAAGUUAAAAAGUAAGUGGACAGCCAUUUGAGAAUAAGAUUAUUCUUUCCAUCAGAAAAUCAAAGCACAGAGAAAUAGUGACAAGUCUGUUAAAUGAGAUGGCAAAAUACACAAGAUGGUUGUAUACAUCAGGGGAAAAUGUAUAGGCACAUAGCCUCUUGUCUCAAUAUAGCUCAGUGUUUUUCCUUCUUAAUAGAUCCAUCAACACAAACCCAUCUGGUCUGUAAUAGAAAAAGGAAGCUGGUUAGGGUAUUCCCCAGGCCUGUGCACUUAACCUUCGUUUUAUCUUUGCUCCUUGGUUUUUCUCUUCUGACUGAUGGAGCCUCAUGACAGUGUAAUCCUUCCAGAGCUAUUAAGAAGAGGAAUUCCAUUCUGUGUAUUCCAACAGGAGAGCUGUGGGGUGACAUCCAAAGCAUUAUUGAUGUCCUUUAUUCUGCAGAUAAGAGCUGACGGCAAUCCCUGAUGGCCGUACCUGGGCACUGAGCCCAGCAGGCCCAUCACAUCUGAGUGGGAGGUGCCACAAAGUUCUCUCUAAGUCUCUAAGACUCUAAGUUCUGACUUUUCACUACAGCAGCCUCCCCUUGGCUGCAGAUAUUGCCUGAAAGGCCACAGACACCUUAACCUUAUCAGCAUCAAAAAUGCUGAGAAAAUUCAGUCUGUCAUUCUGGUCCUCACCAGUGUUCCUCUGGUCUCCCCCUGCGUGAUCAGUGGCAAUACAGGUGAUUGUUGGAUCAUCUAUUGUAGGGAGCCUGAGUGAGCUGCACAAAAUAACCUUCUUGAAAUACUUCAUUCAAUAAUAAAUGAAAAUGAGCUAUUUAUAUGAGCACAGGGGUCACAUGCAAGUGUUGCAGCUAAAAUCAAACAUACAAAGGAUAGGAAUGUCCUGCUUUCCAACAGUACCCUAAUAAUAGUCCUUACACUAACAGUUCAGUAGAGCUCUGCACAUACGCUUUUUAAUUUGGUCCUGCAAUUUCAGGAUAGGAGUAGUGCAAGUAUGAAAUUCAGCUGACAACUGUGAAAAGCAAGUCCUGGUUCCAAUCCCGGGGAUCAGACAUAUGUCAAGGUAUGGACCGACACACACAGUUUUGUUGCUGGGAAAGAUCACUAGCCUGACUGCUAGCACCAGAGAGGAAGAAAAGCAAAAAAGAUGAUUCAUAUUUAUAAUAUUUCCCAUGUAAGUAUGUGGGUGGGAGUGCUCUUAGCCUGUUUCCACAAUCUAAAAAAAAAAGCAACAGCUUAUUUCCAAUUCAAUAACAGAAGCAUACAGCAUUUUAAAUUAGUCUGAAAAAUGAGGAAGGGCAUAGUAUAACAUAGUUUUCUUCUUUGUUGCUCCAUAUUGUUUAAAUUCAUGAGAUUUACAUGCUGUGUUAAGCCAGCUGAAGAGCUGCUGUCAGCCAAAAGCAGCAAAUAAAAGAAAGAGAGGAAGAACAUAACUGGAGAGUUGUAAGGAAAAAAGGCCACAUCUUAGCAGACCUCUGACUAAUAAAUAUAGCACAACUGAUGAGAUCCCUCUAUGGCAGCUGUCAUAAAAUAUUUUGACUUAUAGAAAAACAGAGAAGAUGAACAAAAAUUCUCAAGUAAGUGUCAGUAUAAAUAAGUGAAUUUAAUGAUCUGACUUCCUUAAACAGCAGCAAACGAAUAGAUGAGCUCUUGCUUCAAGAGACUUUUCUGUACAUAGGUACUUCACUUUGAAGCAAAGUCACAAAGACCUGCUUUUCUCCUCUUAGUGCUAGCAAAAUGAUGGUUGAAGCAGAUUUUAAGUGCCUGGUAUUUACUGAACACUGUCCAUGGUCUCCUGCAAGAUGCUAGUGGAGCCGGACCAAUUUACACAAACUAGAAAUCUGCCUGUGAGAACCUAUAAACAGAAACUGCCGCGUAGGAGAUUUGUGAUAUGAAGUUAGCGAUGACUAGCAGGAUGAGAUUACAACUUCCAACAGCACCUUGAAUUUGGAACCUGUAUCCUGAUUCUUCAAAAGAAAUGUUGGCAUUUUUGAAAACGAUACUCCAGAAUUUAACCCAGGAAAAGAAAAAGCUGUGCUAGCAAGAAGAGAAAAAAAUCCCAGGAAUUUUUCGACAUUCCUCUCUCUCCAGCACUCAAUGGCAUAAAAUUACGAGUCAUAAACUGUCAGUCUGAAUGAUCAUAUUUCCUGGUCAUUUAGAUCAUAACAAUAGAGAUAGAUCUUUUUAUUUACCUCCAGUAUAUGCCAGUCAUUUUGAUUGUUGUAAGGAUCUCACCAUUCUACACGGUUCCCUUGAGGUAACUGUACAUGAAGACUGUAACUAUAGGAAAAUCAGUUUAGAUCAUUUGUCUCUGAAGCUGCACGGUUGCCAGCAGAACUCCAGUGAAAGAACAGCUUAGAAGGAUGUGUUUCUCCUCAUCCUAUAUAAAUUUAUCAUUUUACAACUUAUCACUGAAUGGGAGAGCAUAUAGUUCAAGCUAUUGUGGCUGUAGCAAGCUAAUGGAGACAAGCCAAUUCUUACCACUCAGAAUCCUGGCUCUAUUUCCACACUCCUGUCCACCCACUUGUCUUGUAUUGUUCCACAAAAACACCUCAUUCUUGGGAAAUUUAUUUUCAGAUGUGUUACUUUUCUCUCUAAUUACAGUGAGAGAGUAAAUUGCCUUGCCAGUUCUAUAUGAAAUAUGCUAAUUGUAGCAUCAUCUAAAUAAUUUCAGAAAAAAUUAUCAACUCUGAAUAAAGAAGACAGUGAAUGAAAGAGGAAAACACUGGCAUACACAGCAAUUUCAAGGCAUGAAGUAGUCCUGAUAAGUCAGGACCAUGAGCCAGGCCUUUUAGAAAGUUAGAAGAUUUUGGCAAACUGUUUUCUAACACUGUACACAAAAAUAAAAAUAAUAAAGAGCCUGCUUGACAAUA